RNAcentral lists this long non-coding RNA (1266 nucleotides) under Scophthalmus maximus (turbot). RNAcentral describes it as "lncRNA (ENSSMAG00000025136.1)". The record is from RNAcentral. Lineage: Eukaryota; Metazoa; Chordata; Actinopteri; Pleuronectiformes; Scophthalmidae.
AGCAGACGAGCUUGACAGUGGCUCAGAUCAACUAAACUCAGGAAGUGAAUGAAAGACACAAUCAGAACCCAGAUUGAAUGGACUCGACCAUCAGGACCCGUCUCUACUUUGAACAUGUUUUAAUCCCACAGACCUUCAGGGAGAAGAAGGUCGUGUGACACAUGAGAGAAGGAACAUUUCUCAUUUGAUAUUAAUCUUCUCGUUAGUUUGGACUGAGGUCAGCAGCAGGUCAUGAGUCUGUGUUGACAUGAACAGGUGUAGGAAUGUUGUGUUGACAUGAUGAAGAUCCACAAGACUCAUUGAUCAGGAUUAUCAAUGAUGUGAUUCUUUGUUUUAUUCUUCAUCCAGGUUGAAGAGCUGCAGGUUGUCAGAGAUCAGCUGUUCUUCUCUGGCCUCAGCUCUGAGUCCACAACCUCCCACCUGAGACGACUGGAGCUGAGAGACAACACGCUGCAGGAUUCAGGAGUGAAGGAGCUGCGUGAUCUUGUCCAGACAGUCGUGUGUUGAGUCUGGAUCCAGUGAGAUUCGUGCUAACUUCCGAGAGGGAGAAGAUGGACGUGCCGAGGAGGAGAGCAGGGGAGUGUGCAGGGAGACAGAUGGAGAUGUACCAGUUAGCCUUGAAAAAUGUCUGCUUCAAUGUGACAGAUGAAUUGUUAUGUGUUUUAAUUUCAAAUGAGCAGCAUGACGUACAGCUGCUGUCUUCCAUGGUAGGACAACAGCGGUGGAGGUUUUUCAAACCCUGGCCGCUGCACCCAGACUUCCAUCGGCUGUGAGGAUGUAUCCCCUUGCUGGCAGCAAAGUGACAGUUCUGAAGAAGGCCUUCCUGCGACUGAACCGAUCUCACAUGGCAAUUUUUGCCCUGUGUGUGUGUGUGUGUGUGUGUGUGUGUGUGUGUGUGUGUGUGUGUAGAGGAUGGGGGGGUUUGCUAUAUUUUAAAGGGAGAGUUCGGUUUUUUAUGUAUGUUUAUUAAUACAUAACCCCUUUCAGGUAUUGAUUUCAUUAAUAAUUGUUUUCUCUUCAAGUGUGAUGGUGUUUAUGUAAUUUUGAAUAGCUUUGAAAACAAUGCAGUCCACAUGAGGAAAUAUAGCCUUUAGUACACUGGCAAUAUGUUUUUUGUGUAAUGUAGUAUAGCAAAAUAAUAAAAAGUUUAUUCAUAAAUAACUACAAAGGGUACUUUUUAUUAAUUAGAAUAAGCUAAAAAUAUAAGUGAUGUACAAUAUUACUACAAUAAUAAUAUAUUAAUGGUAUAUUGUUUGUACAUUAAAA